UACGUAGGGUGCAAGCGUUGUCCGGAAUUAUUGGGCGUAAAGAGCUCGUAGGCGGUUUGUCGCGUCGAAUGUGAAAACCCGGGGCUCGACCCCGGGCCUGCAUUCGAUACGGGCAGACUAGAGUUCGGUAGGGGAGUCUGGAAUUCCUGGUGUAGCGGUGAAAUGCGCAGAUAUCAGGAGGAACACCGGUGGCGAAGGCGGGACUCUGGGCCGAUACUGACGCUGAGGAGCGAAAGCGUGGGGAGCAAACAGGAUAGAU
RNAcentral lists this ribosomal RNA (259 nucleotides) under uncultured bacterium. RNAcentral describes it as "partial 16S ribosomal RNA". It matches the Rfam family "Bacterial small subunit ribosomal RNA", at positions 524 to 783 of the family's 1533-position model. The record is from RNAcentral.